Molecule: ribosomal RNA, 205 nt
Filed under: uncultured bacterium
Lineage: Bacteria
Description: partial 16S ribosomal RNA
Rfam family: Bacterial small subunit ribosomal RNA
Source: RNAcentral
GACGUAGGGCGCGAGCGUUGUCCGGAUUUAUUGGGCGUAAAGAGCUCGUAGGCGGCUUGUUGCGUCAGCUGUGAAAACCCGCAGCUCAACUGUGGGCUUGCAGCUGAUACGGGCAGGCUUGAGUUCGGUAGGGGAGACUGGAAUUCCUGGUGUAGCGGUGAAAUGCGCAGAUAUCAGGAGGAACACCGGUGGCGAAGGCGGGUCU